UACGAAGGGUGCAAGCGUUACUCGGAAUUACUGGGCGUAAAGGGUGCGUAGGUGGUUUUUUAAGUCCGUUGUGAAAUCCCUGGGCUCAACCUGGGAAUGGCAGUGGAUACUGGAAAGCUAGAGUGCGGUAGAGGGUAGUGGAAUUCCCGGUGUAGCAGUGAAAUGCGUAGAGAUCGGGAGGAACACCAGAGGCGAAGGCGGCGACCUGGACGGGCACUGACACUCAACUACGAAAGCGUGGGGAGCAAACAGG
RNAcentral lists this ribosomal RNA (253 nucleotides) under uncultured bacterium. Its description in RNAcentral is "partial 16S ribosomal RNA". It matches the Rfam family "Bacterial small subunit ribosomal RNA", at positions 524 to 776 of the family's 1533-position model. The record is from RNAcentral.